This 254-nucleotide ribosomal RNA is filed under the name uncultured bacterium. Its description in RNAcentral is "partial 16S ribosomal RNA". It matches the Rfam family "Bacterial small subunit ribosomal RNA", at positions 524 to 775 of the family's 1533-position model. The record is from RNAcentral.
UACAGAGGGGGCAAGCGUUGUUCGGAAUUACUGGGCGUAAAGAGCUCGUAGGCGGCUUGUCGCGUCGACUGUGAAAUCCCCGCGGCUCAACUGCGGGUCUGCAGUCGAUACGGGCAGGCUAGAGUUCGGUAGGGGAGACUGGAAUUCCUGGUGUAGCGGUGAAAUGGCGCAGAUAUCAGGAGGAACACCGGUGGCGAAGGCGGAUCUCUGGGCCAUUACUGACGCUGAGGAGCGAAAGCGUGGGGAGCGAACAG